Long non-coding RNA from Cyprinus carpio (common carp), 1597 nucleotides. Lineage: Eukaryota; Metazoa; Chordata; Actinopteri; Cypriniformes; Cyprinidae. The record is from Ensembl.
CCGGGAUUAAAAACUUAACUCGUCCCAAUGGGAUCAUGGCAGUCAUCAAACGUCCAUCACAUGACGGCUGAAUGCAUUAGGGAUGUGACCAGAGCAAGGCUAUUGUUGGGCUGAUCAGAAUGAAAAUGAAAAUGAGACUGACUUCCAAUAAUUCUGAAAGCCUGCUUCCAUUGUUCCUGUUCUUUCAUCCUGUCAGGGGAAAUUGAUGGAGUGCACUGCGGUCUAGAAAUGGGAGGAAGAACUGCAGAUAAAGGAAUAAUGCCAUAGCACUGAAGUGAAGAAGAUCCACUCUCCAGGGAACACAUCUCAACAGACUCAGACACAUGGGAGAAUUGCAGCUUGGUCUUCGCCCACAAAAUUACAUUUGAGGUCCGCUGGGACAUCAGCCGAUGGGUGCUUGGUGGGAUGCAGUGAAUUCUGAGAAUUUUUGCUGCUAAUUAGCAUGGCCUAACUAACAUUGAAGCAGGAAAUGAACUUCACUUCUAUUUUUAGGUAUUGUGCAGGGAGAAGUGCACAGAGAUCAGUAAGAGGACCCUGGAUUUCAUCAGGAGUGACUGUAAUAACUCCAUGUGAGCUUGAAUUAAUGAUCAGGUAUGUGCUCCCAAGGCACAGUGAGUCACACUGAGUUUUAUAAAAGCACCUCAUUCAUUUCUGACCUUUGAAAGCUUAAGACCAACCUCACAUUUGCAUUAUAAGCAAACGCUCAGAUCAUUAUAAGUCGCUCCAGGAUAAAAAGUUGAGUUGGCCUUUUUCUUCCCGAGACCUUAGUGUUUUUUUAUUUUUUGCAUGCAUGCUCUGAGUUUGGCAAUAAGAAAAAUCUGUCAGGCCAGAGGCACAACAGAACUUGAAUGAAGUUAAAUAUACAAAUCUGUUGAUGCCACUGAGAAUACCAUUUCUUAUGUUACACUGUAGAGAAAACAUUAAUUGAUCAAGUAUUCUGAAGUUCUAGCUUUCAGGUCACUCUAUGCACCUUUCUUUCUAAACUUAAGUUAAACUUAAUAGCAAGUUAGUUGGACUGACGCAAUUUUUUUUUUUUUAAAAAUAGGCCUGAAAAUGGUUUGUGGUUCAGUCCCAGUUGCCCUUUCCCCAGUAUGAAGUAGGUCAUGAAUAAUUUAUGUGGUUGCACUGUUUUAAUGUUUACACUGUUUUUGUUUUUGUCAUGUUUUAGUAACUUUUUGAUUUGUGAUGUUUUGACUUGCGUCCUGUUAAAAAGAGCACUUGAUUGAGUGUAACCCUUGUUGUUUCAUGGAUCAAGUAUUGUGUGUGUGUGUGUAUGUGUGUGUUCCAUUUCCCACUAUUUUCUUUUCUUUUCAUUUUUUUUGUCAAGUGAGUGUUCAAACGAUGCAUAUUCAUGUAAAGCUGUGAAUAGAUUAAACGAGUAGCUCACCAAACAACUUUGUCACCAUUUACUCAUCCUCAUGUCAUUCCAAAACAUUUUCUUCUGCAGAACACAAAAGAAGAUAUUUUGAAGAACUGCUCUUUCCCAUAAAAUGAAAGUCAGUGGGGUGAACAAAGCUGACUAUUAUUUUAUGAAUAAUUUUAUUUUAUGAAUUAUUUUAUGAAUAAAAGUUUUUAAACUUAGUUUAAAAACUGUAUC